AGAGUUUGAUCCUGGCUCAGGACGAACGCUGGCGGCGUGCCUAAUACAUGCAAGUCGAGCGAGCGGAACUAACAGAUUUACUUCGGUAAUGACGUUAGGAAAGCGAGCGGCGGAUGGGUGAGUAACACGUGGGGAACCUGCCCCAUAGUCUGGGAUACCACUUGGAAACAGGUGCUAAUACCUGAUAAGAAAGCAGAUCGCAUGAUCAGCUUUUAAAAGGCGGCGUAAGCUGUCGCUAUGGGAUGGCCCCGCGGUGCAUUAGCUAGUUGGUAAGGUAAAGGCUUACCAAGGCGAUGAUGCAUAGCCGAGUUGAGAGACUGAUCGGCCACAUUGGGACUGAGACACGGCCCAAACUCCUACGGGAGGCAGCAGUAGGGAAUCUUCCACAAUGGACGCAAGUCUGAUGGAGCAACGCCGCGUGAGUGAAGAAGGUUUUCGGAUCGUAAAGCUCUGUUGUUGGUGAAGAAGGAUAGAGGUAGUAACUGGCCUUUAUUUGACGGUAAUCAACCAGAAAGUCACGGCUAACUACGUGCCAGCAGCCGCGGUAAUACGUAGGUGGCAAGCGUUGUCCGGAUUUAUUGGGCGUAAAGCGAGCGCAGGCGGAAGAAUAAGUCUGAUGUGAAAGCCCUCGGCUUAACCGAGGAACUGCAUCGGAAACUGUUUUUCUUGAGUGCAGAAGAGGAGAGUGGAACUCCAUGUGUAGCGGUGGAAUGCGUAGAUAUAUGGAAGAACACCAGUGGCGAAGGCGGCUCUCUGGUCUGCAACUGACGCUGAGGCUCGAAAGCAUGGGUAGCGAACAGGAUUAGAUACCCUGGUAGUCCAUGCCGUAAACGAUGAGUGCUAAGUGUUGGGAGGUUUCCGCCUCUCAGUGCUGCAGCUAACGCAUUAAGCACUCCGCCUGGGGAGUACGACCGCAAGGUUGAAACUCAAAGGAAUUGACGGGGGCCCGCACAAGCGGUGGAGCAUGUGGUUUAAUUCGAAGCAACGCGAAGAACCUUACCAGGUCUUGACAUCUAGUGCCAUUUGUAGAGAUACAAAGUUCCCUUCGGGGACGCUAAGACAGGUGGUGCAUGGCUGUCGUCAGCUCGUGUCGUGAGAUGUUGGGUUAAGUCCCGCAACGAGCGCAACCCUUGUUAUUAGUUGCCAGCAUUAAGUUGGGCACUCUAAUGAGACUGCCGGUGACAAACCGGAGGAAGGUGGGGAUGACGUCAAGUCAUCAUGCCCCUUAUGACCUGGGCUACACACGUGCUACAAUGGGCAGUACAACGAGAAGCGAGCCUGCGAAGGCAAGCGAAUCUCUGAAAGCUGUUCUCAGUUCGGACUGCAGUCUGCAACUCGACUGCACGAAGCUGGAAUCGCUAGUAAUCGCGGAUCAGCACGCCGCGGUGAAUACGUUCCCGGGCCUUGUACACACCGCCCGUCACACCAUGGGAGUCUGCAAUGCCCAAAGCCGGUGGCCUAACCUUCGGGAAGGAGCCGUCUAAGGCAGGGCAGAUGACUGGGGUGAAGUCGUAACAAGGUAACC
Molecule: ribosomal RNA, 1525 nt
Filed under: uncultured bacterium
Lineage: Bacteria
Description: bacterial SSU rRNA
Rfam family: Bacterial small subunit ribosomal RNA
Source: RNAcentral